Molecule: long non-coding RNA, 5538 nt
Filed under: Gallus gallus (chicken)
Lineage: Eukaryota; Metazoa; Chordata; Aves; Galliformes; Phasianidae
Description: lncRNA (ENSGALG00010026753.1)
Source: RNAcentral
CCUGGCCUCACUUGAACUCAGCAUAGAGAAGUGCGGAGUGCUCAGCAAAUUCUGAAGAAUAAUUCAGUAUUGAUUAUCCAUCUUCCCACUGAACUUCUGGAGGUGGAGGCUUUGGGUUGCCGUUCCCAGUGCUGCAGCACAGGACUGCUUUGUGCAGCUGCAGCAUCUGGGUGAGCCCAUCUAUGGGCAGAGUGGCAAAGAUGCUGCUGGGCUUUCUCCUUCUCUUUUUUCCUCUUGCAUUGCAGAACAAAAAUUGGAUUUUCUUGCAUGGCAGAACAAAAACUGAAGCGCACUCAUUAGUGAACCACACUACAUUUGGUCAGGGUGAGCAGUAAGGAGGGGAAAAAAAAUGGAAAUGAACUCAGCUGCAAAUGAUGUAUUCAGAACUUGUUCUCUAUUGGUGAUGGAUGAGCAGCCCCUCCUGGCUGGGAGGUGGGCCUCUGCAGCAGUGUCUGAUGGAGGGCAUUUUUCUGUCCCCUUCUCUCUGCUCUCCCUGCCAGGCAGUCAGACCUAUUGACCAGCAGCUGCGUUUGUUUUUCUACGGCUGUUGGGAUUAUAGCAGUGCUCUCAGUGGAACCAAACCUCUGGGGCUGCAGGUGGUAGGGCCUCUGCUCCUGGGCUUCUUGGGGAGGGUGAGUGUCUCACGUGGGGUUCCACAACACCGAAUACAAGGCGACCCUGCUGGGACUGCUGGUAAAGACAAAUGGGCCCUACAAGCAGCAGCAGCAGUGCUGUAUAUUUGGACUUGCAGAUGGAAGUGGGGAGAAAUGGGUCGCGUAGCCGGGGUCACUGAGCCCUCCAGUGCUGUGUUCUGAAAUAAGGGCAGGAAAAUGCCUUCGCUCUGAAGGUGCUGCUGUUUUGCUGGUGCUUUGCUCUGGUGGCCAAGCUGGAGCAGCUUUGAGAUAGGACUGUGUCUGGACUGCCCAAAUGUUUACGUGUGACUGCUGGCUUCUGGUAGCUGGUUCAGUUGUGCACACCCACAGGCAGAGGAUUUACUGCCAAAGCUGCCCGUCCCGAUAAACACCCAUCCUUGACCUGCAGCCCAAUAAGGCCCCAGGAAGCAGCUCACCCUGGCUGAUAAAACCAUCCAAGCUGCUGCUCCAGCCCUGUGCAUGUGGGUACAGCCGGGACAACAUCUGCCUCUGUUGCGUGCUGCAUUGAGCUCAUACCUGGGCACUCUGCGUUGCUUCUCCCAUCCCAGCCAAAACAAAUGCAAUCUGCUCUCGUGUAUGCUGCAAGAGCCCUGCCAGGAACAAAGAGGAACUCAAAUAUUUGUGCUCAGUUGUUGCUCUUUCCAUUCAGGCAAUAAGUGCCAACUGCUGCAGAGCCUGGCAGUGUGGGAUUUCCGCUGGGCUGGCUCUGGCUUCACAGCCCUGCCGAGAUGAAACACCUACAAUUAACAGCUGGGCUCUAAGCUGGGGAAGAUGACUGAGGGUGAUUGAAAUCUGGCCUUCAAAACAAAACAAAAAGCCUGCGUCAAAUGGAGAACGUGUGUUCUUUGUGCACAGCUUCCUGCAACAUAGUGUUGUCACCAUGAAUGCUGGAGCUGUGUUACUGCCUGGGCUGCUAGCUGUCUGUCUGUGCACAAAUACCUCAGAACUCCUGGAGAGAGGGGGAAAAAACAUCAAUUCAAACUGCCUUUCGUUGGAAAGCCCCACACUCAAAGCUGUGUGGAGGGCUGAGAUUCUCCAGGUGUGGAGCUAUUAUAUGGAUGAGAUGUUUGCAGAGUAAUUACAUAAUGAGCUUCAGAUCUCAGCUGCUUGGUCCCAGGGAAGCUGCUGUGCUUCAGCACUUGGUAGGGCCAGGGAUAGGGCAGUGAAAGGACCGAGUGUGAGCUCAGCAACGAAGCUGUGCUGCUGAUGUCAGUGGGCCCCUUCAAAGCUGAGGGGAUAAAGGAGGGACAGGCAUACCCAGCACCAGGAGUUCACGUGCCAUUCUGCCAGAAUGGAGUUUGGAGAGUCCUGGGAAAGCCCACAUUGCCUCAGUGGGUUGGUCCAGGAGCAGGAUGCUGUAACACGGAUGGUGGAUGCUUCUGCCCUGGAACCUCACCUGGACCCUUUCUGAGUGACAUGCUGAUGGUACGUGGGCUGUAAAAUAAACUGUGAGUCCUUCCACAUUUCUUCUUGGUUGUUUUGGGUGGGGUUUUUUUGUAUGCAAUCAGUUUUUGCAAGUUCUUGUGCAAGUGAUGCAGUCUGGGGUAAGGCUUGGGCUCUGUGUGGUUGGCACGGGCUGGUCACUGAGGUCUGGACAUCUCCGUGUGCUCUUGUGUGUGAAUUCUACCUUUUUCCAUUCCCCUUUCUCGAUAGGGCUUUGGAUGCUCUGUUAUGCUCAGAGCACCAUAUUGCUGCCAGCCCUCACUCACUGCAGUCUGGAGCUGAGUAACCUCCUUUCCUUGACAAAUUCUGAUUGCCUUCUCCAGUUAAUGUGGGAUUUUUCCAUUAGCCCCACAAUUCCCUUUUUUCACUCAGAAAUUUCUUAUCAGGAAUUCAUUAGCCCUGAAAUGUGAAGGACUGACUCUUCAGUCUUAACCACCUUUUAUAAUUACCUCCUCUCUGAGCUGUACUUGGAAAGAUGUCUCCUGAGUUCCAUUUUACACAGCGUGCAGCACUCCCCUUAUUUCUGUAUUAUGGCAUAAAAUUAAAUCAUCUCUACUUCAGCUGACUGAAAAGCUACUAGAAACUUCAAGAGCUUCAGGAAAAAAAACUACUGUCAGAGAUGAGGCUUCUUCUGGCUUGUUUUUUAGUUGCACACAUUGCACACAGCAGAUGAGAAGCGCUGUUUGCCUGCUUCAGUAGCUGUCUGCACUUCCAAAAAGGAUGGGUUUUGGCAGCUCCUUGAGCUCCCUGCUUCUUCCUGAGGUCACUGCUGAGGUGGUAUCCUCACAAAGCACUGUCCUGGCAGAGCAGCGUGCCUAGCAGGGCUGCAAGAAAUGCAUGUACAAAAGUGUAGAUAUUCCAAGCAGAGUGUAAAGGUGGAUCGAUUCUAUAGGGUCCACAUUAGAAAUGCUAAAGCUCAGUAUGUCAGCUUGGCCUGACCUCGCUGUUUGCUGACACUUGAGGAGGCAGCAGAAGUUAAAUCCCUCAUGUUCCUGGAGCUCCUGCGCUGCCAGUGGGUUGAGGUCAAAGGAACGAGUGCAGGGAGAGAACUGUGGCAAACAGCUUUCCUUUUUCAACAGGACACAAACCCUUCGCAGGGUUAUGCAUACAUCAUUGUCUGGUAAGGAGCAAUUGACUGAUAACAGCUCCUGCAGCCAGCACUGGGCGUACCAUUGGGAACUUCCUGGAAAACACCUGUACACAGCAAACCUGUUACAAUGAGCUGGCUGAUAAGGGGUAUUGCACUUCAAUGGAGUUAGCUCGUGAACGUGGGAGAGGCCUUGGUUUCUUGAACAACAGUAAGAAAGGGCAGAUGUUAUGUAAGUCAGCCGUGCGUAGCCACUCACUGUGUGCAGUACAGAACUGGAGUAAUGCUGCCUUUCAUUGCAGCACACAGUGAAUCUGGAACAUCCUCACUAUUUAUCUUUCUCUGAAGCUGUUUGCAUCUUGUCCCCUGCCAGAGGUGAGCAGGAAGGUAUCUCAGCAGCCCAGUGGUUCUUCAUUCCCACUAUCAAAAUAGCCUAAUGUUGGCAAGUUAAAAGCUGAAGAGCUGGCAAGAAUUUGCUACAGAAGAGCAGUGAAGGGCCAGCCCAAACCCAGCAUGCGUGUGCUACUCAGGACCUGCUGACCCCUGCUACUGGCAGGGAUGCGAAGGAAUUCACUGCUGCCAUGCAUAGUGAUGCCUUUAUGUGGGCAAAGCUGUGCUGACAGGGGGAGCUGAGACGUUUCCUGUGUGAUGCAGACAGACAUGUGCCUCUUCUGUGCCACGAGAGAUCUGGCUAAAUUAGCACGGGGAGGGCAUCUCGUUUGUCAUGCAACAACAGAUCAUCUGUGAUUCAAAUAAGAGUAUGCUUAUGUUGUUAAAAUGGCAUCAUUUGCUGCAGGGUGUAUUUGUCUAACUGAAUCCAACCACAGAGAAUUUCUCUAAUCAAAUGAGGUCGGUUUGACAUGGGUGGCUCUGUGGGCUGCAGCUCAUGCUCAGUGCCAUGUUGACUCUCAGGGGCUGUUGAUGGCUCUAUUUUGAUUGUUCCUGUUUGUUUUUCUGUUUUACCCUAAAUGCUGUUGGGGCAUCCUAAUUGCAUAUAGAGGGACGCUGCAGCUCACUCUAAGAAGAAUUGCAUUGCCCAUCUAGAAAGAUGCAAUCCUUCCAGCUCCCAUCCACAUGCAAUGGCUGGCAUGAGACACGCACACAGGAGAGAACAUGAGCGUGCACCUUGCUCUGGCUGCUCUCCCUGCUCGUGCCUAAUGGCUUGCUCUGCGUCAGCAUCACGGGGAUACUGCUUCUGUGCCUUAUGCAACAGCUGUACCCAUACAUGUAGCAGCACAUUUCUUAGCAUGGCCUAAUUUGAUGUCCCAUGACACAUUAAACUGAUGUCACAGUGGCUGCACAGCUUUCAAGUUGAUUCUGUUCCUAAGCACACAGACUGGCAAUAAGUGGGUCCUCUGCUGGCACAAGUAGGUGCAGUUGGCUUUAUUGCUUCUGGAUGAGGUUUGUACACAAGUGAGAUGGGACAUUCUCUGGCUCCUGCUCUCAGCAGGGCAGCCUGCACAGUGGGAAAGGUCUCAUAUGAAAGCGUGUGAUCUGGGGUCUGUGAAGUGCUUGGAGGUUAUUUCAUGAAAGGUGUUAUGUUAGUUUAAAAGAUGGUCUGUUUACAGAAAAAAUCUCAUUUUCAAUAUAAUCUCUGCGAUCUGAAGGAAGUUAUGACAAAUCCUCAUCUUAUAAACUACAGGAUGAUGUCAUCAUCAAAAAAUAAACAAGUUCUCUUCUACCAAAGAGUUCCAGUGUUCCCCUCUUUCUCCUUGAUGCCACUUAUACAGGGCACUUUUGCCUUCUUUUCUCCUGUAUCCUUAUUUUCUUCUCCAGGAUCUGUAUCUCUAUUAAUAUCUAGCAUUGUUGGAAUGGCGCAAAGUGUAAUUACUUGAACCAAAUGGGUUGUGAUGUUUUAAAUGCGAAAUGUUUGUGUUGCUCUCUGGACUUGGGUAUAUAUUUAUUAUGGUUGCAGAACAGAGUUUCAAAUAAGCCAUCAGGAUCCCAGAUACGUUAAGGGUUAGGUUGAGACUGAACACCAAAUUAAAGAUGACAGAGCUCUUUCUACCCCCUGUGAAUCCCCCAGUGGACACGCUUUCCCUUGCUGAUCCCGUCAUGCUCUUCUGGAUUGAUGUCUGCUCAGCAACCAGCAUCCCAGGUGCUUCUAUGGCCUCUGCUAUGCAGUCUGGAAGCAUUUCCAAACUCCUGGGUGCAGUCAGACUGCCCUUCCAUGCUCUGUGCACAGGGUCAGCUCUGCAGCGGGCUGUUCCUGCUACAGAGUUCAGCAAGUGUACAGUGUUGUGGCAGAAGGAAGGCAAGCUAACCUUGGUUACGGUACUUCUCAUGUGGUUCAUUUAAGGCUACUUUCUGGUUUUAUCUCUUCAUUUUGUUAUUUGCAGUGAAAUAAAGGAGAAC